Molecule: long non-coding RNA, 449 nt
Organism: Ornithodoros turicata
Lineage: Eukaryota; Metazoa; Arthropoda; Arachnida; Ixodida; Argasidae
Exons: 2
Source: RefSeq, a predicted model, not a curated record
GGAAAACGCUUGUGCUUCACCAAUCACGACAGCCACGAACGAGCAACCGUGAUGUGAACAUGUCUUUCUUUGGACUAACCUGACUGAGCUGGCGAACCUUGAGUGGCGGGACAUGAGCCUAAAGGAGCAUGGAAACGGUGUUCAGGCUGUCUAAAAACCGCUCGUAUUUCGUGAAAUGGCUCAUGAUAAACAUAUACGAACGGCUCAAACAAGUUCCAGUACAAAGCGAUUUAAUUGUAAAAAAUGCUGCCGCGGCGGGAAGUUUCCGGAUUCCAUCUCCAGGCCACUCCUCCGGUCCUGCGACGUCGCACCCGCAAUGGCCCUUAUUCCCUGCGAAAAAUUCGUCUGCUCUCGACAGAGCGAAGUGCUAUACUUGUUCGCUGCUAUUCAUUCUAGGAUAUCAAACAGGAAAUAAACGUUUUGAAAAUGGUAUCUGUUUACCGACGGCA